RNAcentral lists this long non-coding RNA (569 nucleotides) under Homo sapiens (human). Its description in RNAcentral is "HSALNT0341812". The record is from RNAcentral. Lineage: Eukaryota; Metazoa; Chordata; Mammalia; Primates; Hominidae.
AAGAGGAGAAAUGAGAGACGAAAGGAAAGACCAUACUUUCCCAAGUUUAAAAGGGCUCAGCUUUUGAAUCUGUGAUUGGUAUAUCUUUGGCCUUAUGAGAUGAAUGAUGAGAUAAAAUGUGUGAAAAAUUAAACUUCUCUAGUGGCAAGUGUAAGUGACUCAAGAGUUAUGCUGGAGAAUGGAUCAUUGCUUCACUUCUACAGUUUAAAAAUUUGUGAAACCAACCAUGGUUACUGCAGUAUUACAUGGCUAUCAGGUUUCAAAAGUUUGAGACCCCUGCAAUGAAGGCCAUUAGAAAACAUGAAAUAUUAUUAUUACAGACAGAUGAUGGACCAUCUUGCCAACAGCUGACACUGAUCUUUCUACGUGAGCAAUGUCCUCUACAAAACAACCUAUUGCAGUUUUUGCAUUAUUUACACUUUUAACCUGAAGACUGGUCACUAAGCAAUGCAUUUGAUGUCUGCUGAUUUGAGCAUUCACUAUGUGCACUAGGUAGUGAUGGUAUUGCAAAAGAAACAGCAAUAUUUUGCAUCAUUUUAAGAAAUCAGUACUGAAAACAAUUAAGCAAA